ACGGAAGGCAGCAGUGAGGAAUAUUGGUCAAUGGGCGGAAGCCUGAACCAGCCAAGUCGCGUGAGGGAUGAAGGUCCUACGGAUUGUAAACUUCUUUAGCCGGGGAGCAAUAAGCGCUAUGUAUAGCGUGAUGAGAGUACCCGUAGAAUAAGGAUCGGCUAACUCCGUGCCAGCAGCCGCGGUAAUACGGAGGAUCCGAGCGUUAUCCGGAUUUAUUGGGUUUAAAGGGUGCGCAGGCGGUCGAUUAAGUCAGUGGUCAAAUCGCGGUGCUCAACGCCGUCCCGCCAUUGAUACUGGUUGACUUGAUUCCGGUCGAGGCAGGCGGAAUUCGUAGUGUAGCGGUGAAAUGCAUAGAUAUUGCGAAGAACUCCGAUUGCGUAGGCAGCUUACCAGGCCGUAAAUGACGCUCAUGCACGAAAGUGCGGGGAUCGAACAGGAUUAGAUACCCUGGUA
This 453-nucleotide ribosomal RNA is filed under the name uncultured Barnesiella sp. Its description in RNAcentral is "partial 16S ribosomal RNA". It matches the Rfam family "Bacterial small subunit ribosomal RNA", at positions 341 to 792 of the family's 1533-position model. The record is from RNAcentral. Lineage: Bacteria; Pseudomonadati; Bacteroidota; Bacteroidia; Bacteroidales; Barnesiellaceae.